AACCAUAGAAACCUGCGGAGUACCUGCGGAAGGAUCAUUACAGAGUUGCAAAACUCCCUAAACCAUUGUGAACGUUACCUAAACCGUUGCUUCGGCGGGCGGCCCGGGUCCUUCCCGGCGCCCAUCGGCCCUCGCGGGCGCCCGCCGGAGGUAAACCAAACUAUUGCAUUGUAUGGCCUCUCUGAGUCUUCUGUACUGAAUAAGCCAAAACUUUCAGCAACGGAUCUCAGAUCGGAAGAG
RNAcentral lists this unclassified non-coding RNA (240 nucleotides) under soil metagenome. RNAcentral's name for it is "partial contains 5.8S ribosomal RNA, internal transcribed spacer 2, and large subunit ribosomal RNA". The record is from RNAcentral.